GAGUUUGAUCAUGGCUCAGAUUGAACGCUGGCGGCAGGCCUAACACAUGCAAGUCGAGCGGAUGAAGGGAGCUUGCUCCUGGAUUCAGCGGCGGACGGGUGAGUAAUGCCUAGGAAUCUGCCUGGUAGUGGGGGAUAACGUCCGGAAACGGGCGCUAAUACCGCAUACGUCCUGAGGGAGAAAGUGGGGGAUCUUCGGACCUCACGCUAUCAGAUGAGCCUAGGUCGGAUUAGCUAGUUGGUGGGUAAAGGCCUACCAAGGCGACGAUCCGUAACUGGUCUGAGAGGAUGAUCAGUCACACUGGAACUGAGACACGGUCCAGACUCCUACGGGAGGCAGCAGUGGGGAAUAUUGGACAAUGGGCGAAAGCCUGAUCCAGCCAUGCCGCGUGUGUGAAGAAGGUCUUCGGAUUGUAAAGCACUUUAAGUUGGGAGAAGGGCAGUAAGUUAAUACCUUGCUGUUUGACGUUACCAACAGAAUAAGCACCGGCUAACUUCGUGCCAGCAGCCG
Molecule: ribosomal RNA, 510 nt
Filed under: uncultured microorganism
Description: bacterial SSU rRNA
Rfam family: Bacterial small subunit ribosomal RNA
Source: RNAcentral